This 486-nucleotide ribosomal RNA is filed under the name uncultured bacterium. Its description in RNAcentral is "partial 16S ribosomal RNA". It matches the Rfam family "Bacterial small subunit ribosomal RNA", at positions 30 to 507 of the family's 1533-position model. The record is from RNAcentral.
AUUGAACGCUGGCGGCAUGCCUUACACAUGCAAGUCGAACGGCAGCACUGGUGCUUGCCCCUGGUGGCGAGUGGCGAACGGGUGAGUAAUACAUCGGAACAUGUCCUGUAGUGGGGGAUAGCCCGGCGAAAGCCGGAUUAAUACCGCAUACGAUCUACGGAUGAAAGCGGGGGACCUUCGGGCCUCGCGCUAUAGGGUUGGCCGAUGGCUGAUUAGCUAGUUGGUGGGGUAAAGGCCUACCAAGGCGACGAUCAGUAGCUGGUCUGAGAGGACGACCAGCCACACUGGGACUGAGACACGGCCCAGACUCCUACGGGAGGCAGCAGUGGGGAAUUUUGGACAAUGGGCGAAAGCCUGAUCCAGCAAUGCCGCGUGUGUGAAGAAGGCCUUCGGGUUGUAAAGCACUUUUGUCCGGAAAGAAAUCCUUGGCCCUAAUACGGUCGGGGGAUGACGGUACCGGAAGAAUAAGCACCGGCUAACUACGUG